Molecule: long non-coding RNA, 528 nt
Filed under: Homo sapiens (human)
Lineage: Eukaryota; Metazoa; Chordata; Mammalia; Primates; Hominidae
Description: HSALNT0207660
Source: RNAcentral
GGAAAUGUCAUAACAACAGAGGCUCCAUCAGGGCUUACUGGUAGCCCACUACUGGAAAUCACAUGUCCCAAAUAUUUAACUUGAGAGAGAGAAAAUUGCAAUUUAUCUCUGGACAAUCUUUGUCCCUUAAAGCAAGCUGUUGUGACAAGUGGACAAUGUCUUCUCUGCCUGUUGUCAAGGAGGAUGAAAGUGACAAAUCAUCCACAUAUUGACCAGGAUAGUUCUGCUAGAAAAUUUGAUAUCAUGUAAAUGUCUUUUUAAUAUUUGAGAAAAGUAAGUAGGACACUUGGAAUAUCCUGAAGCAAGAUUGUCCAUGUGUACUGGUGAUUUUCUCAAGCAAAGGCAAAAAGAUAUUGGCUGUUCUGCUCUACAGGAAUUUGUGGAAGUUCAAACUUAAGAAUGAUGAUUUAGGGUGCCUGAUGGAAGACAUUUUUAAGCAGGAAAGCAUUCAAGGUGUGGCCUCAGUGCUUCUAUACUCAGAUCCAGGAGCAAAGAAAUGACUUAAAGCUGGAAUUUAUGUUUAAACAG